GCCCAGAUGGCGGAAUUGGUAGACGCGCUGGUCUCAAACACCAGUGGUAGCAAUAUCGUGCCGGUUCGAUCCCGGCCUCGGGUA
RNAcentral lists this transfer RNA (84 nucleotides) under Prevotellaceae bacterium. RNAcentral describes it as "tRNA-Leu". It matches the Rfam family "tRNA". From Rfam's summary of the family: Transfer RNA (tRNA) molecules are approximately 80 nucleotides in length. Lineage: Bacteria; Pseudomonadati; Bacteroidota; Bacteroidia; Bacteroidales; Prevotellaceae. The record is from RNAcentral.